The submitters of this non-coding RNA (225 nucleotides) gave its source as unclassified sequences. The record is from Rfam.
GCCUUAUACAGAUGUAGCCACGCAAGGCAGUGGCGCAUCUCCCUUUAAGGCGGUGUUCACAUUAGAAACAUAGGUGAUAAGUCUGGUUGUGUGGCUCUUUAGUUGAAACCAGGUGAGCUUAUGUAGAGUAGGUUAGCCGUAAGACCUUGGGUUGAAAAACCCUAAAAUUGACCUGGAAAUAGCGAGUAUCGUUUCGCGAUUUUCGUUAUUCCCAGUUGCGGUAAG